AGGACAGGAUAAAUGUGGGUCUUUGUUCUAUGUUUCAUAGGAAGGAUAAAGUGUGGGUCUUUGUUCUGUGUCAUAGGACAGGAUAAAGUGUGGGUCUUUGUUCUGUGUCAUAGGACAGGAUAAAGUGUGGGUCUUUGUUCUGUGUCAUAGGAC
This is a non-coding RNA of Salvelinus sp. IW2-2015, 153 nucleotides long. NCBI's taxonomy places the organism in Eukaryota, Metazoa, Chordata, Actinopteri, Salmoniformes, Salmonidae. The record is from RefSeq and is a predicted model, not a curated record.